GGGAACUGUCUUCAGUUCAAUAAUAGCAACAAAUCAGUAAGCUCGCUCCAGCCCUCGAUGCUCGUUCAUCUCAACCCAGUGGCAGCAGAGAAGGCACGUUGCUGAGAUAGGAAACACAGCAUGAACAAGACAAACAUGACAUUUGCCCUUAUAGAUGCUGACCAGCACAAGGAGUGUCCCUAAUUUCUACUCCUGCUCCCUCGGCAGGCAUCACUAAUCAACAAAGACAGUGUUUCCCCUGAGCUUGGAUCUCCUCAACUCAGUGUUCUUUGGCAGUUACUGAGAUUGGAUCAGAAUUGGCAUGGGAAUUAAACAUACAUGGCUGUAUAUUACAUGCAUAUGUAGCAGGCUACGAUAUUGGAUUUUCAACCUAGAGACCCAGGCACAAUAGAUAACAAGAACCGAAGUAAAGUUUGACACAGAGCACCAAGAUGAAAAUUAUUAAGUCAAGUUUGAAGUUUUUAUUUGGGAACUGUUUACAAGAUGUUGGGUCUCUUUCCAGGGGCCCUUCACCAAGAUAAAAAAAUUGACAUCACUCUACAUUUCUAUGUAGAAAUGACAUUAAGAGCCACACUUCUCUUAAGGAGUCCUAUCCCCUUCAGCCAAGGCUAUUGAGGAGUGUUUUCAGGGACAACUUGGCAAGUUUGCAGGUAAAAGGCCACAGAGCACUGGUACCACAAUCAUGCGUGAGAAAGCUGAAGUGGCUUGUAUGGAAGAGAAGAAACCAGCAGCUGGGAAGAAAACGCAUUCCUCACCAACUCAAGUCAAGAGGGGUGUGAAUUCUGGGUCAGAGGGCAUCAUAUUGAUGAUGUUUUAAAAUGAAUCUUGCCCAAAGCUUUUCCUUACAGGGUAAGGGGAUGCAAAGUGGUAACAGGCUGAAAGGUAUACCACCAGGGACAGAAACUGAAGUGGGAUUGGAGACUAAAGACUCAAGGAAAGACACUCCCCAUGUCACAGGAGUUGCAACUGUUGGGGCCUAGCAGAGGAAACUUCAAAGCACUCACAAAAGCACCUGCAUGAGAAAGGCAGCUUUAAAACAUCUGCAAGGUCUAGAAAGCCUGACAUCUACCUAUGACAGUGAUGGUCUUGUAAGAAGUAUCAUCAUUCUUGUCACUUUUAUAUCCAAC
This 1127-nucleotide long non-coding RNA is filed under the name Equus caballus (horse). RNAcentral describes it as "lncRNA (ENSECAG00000052547.1)". The record is from RNAcentral. Lineage: Eukaryota; Metazoa; Chordata; Mammalia; Perissodactyla; Equidae.